Molecule: small nuclear RNA, 102 nt
Organism: Suncus etruscus (white-toothed pygmy shrew)
Lineage: Eukaryota; Metazoa; Chordata; Mammalia; Eulipotyphla; Soricidae
Source: RefSeq, a predicted model, not a curated record
AUGCUCGCUUCGGCAGCACAUAUACUAAAAUUGGAACGAAACAGAUUAGCAUGGCCCCUGCGCAAGGAUGACAUGCAAAUUAGUGAAGCAUUUUAUAUUUUU